Molecule: ribosomal RNA, 1407 nt
Filed under: Triticum aestivum (bread wheat)
Lineage: Eukaryota; Viridiplantae; Streptophyta; Magnoliopsida; Poales; Poaceae
Description: partial small subunit ribosomal RNA
Source: RNAcentral
AUGUCGUCCGAAACCGCCGUCUCGCCGCAGCCGCUGUCCUCCAGCCCACCAACCGCCGCCGUCUCCGCCCAUUCCGGCCCCGCUCCCCCGGCCGACGAGCCGGAAGCUCCAGCCCCUCCCCAACCCCCGCCGCACCAUGCCUCGCCGUUGCCAGCCCCCUCCGUGUCCGACGAGACGGACGCCCCGACCCGUCCCCAACCCCUGCCGCGCCACCCCAUCGCGUCCUCCUCCUCCCCAUCCACCGCGGCCGGCGAGACGCAGGGCCCAGUACACCCCCCGCCCCAACCCCAGAUGCACCAACCGGCGUCGCCGUCCCCUUCCUCGGCGGAGCCGCAAACCCCUGUCCAGCCCCAACCGAACCAUUCGUCGCCGCCUCUCUCGGGGGACGACGACGAUGAAGACGUGGUCAUCACCGGCGCGUUAUCUGGGGCGGGCGGCGCGGCUUCGUCCGCGGCCGAUGAGCGAGUGAAGGGGCCGUGGUCGCCCGAGGAGGACGCGGUGCUGACCAAUCUGGUGAUGAGGGACGGGGCGCGGAACUGGACGAUGAUUGCGCGCGGGAUCCCCGGGCGCUCCGGCAAGUCCUGCCGCCUCCGCUGGUGCAACCAGCUCGAUCCUCAACUCAAGCGCAAGCCAUUCACUGAGGAGGAGGACCAGAUGAUAAUAUCUGCUCAUGCAAUUCAUGGGAACAAGUGGGCAUCUAUCGCGAAACUAUUGGUUGGGAGAACCGACAAUGCAAUCAAGAACCACUGGAAUUCUACUCUGAGGCGUCGGUACUGCACCGGUACCCGAUGCACACGAAGUGCUUCUGCGGAGCAACCUAUGAGAGAGAUGUCCAGGGCAGUUUCAGAAGAACGGUGGCCAUUGUCCGGUCCUAGUUCCUUCAGUGUUAUGGAAGUAAAGGAAGCUCCUGUGCAAACAGUAUCUGAAAGCUCAGCUGGGGCAUUGCAAAUCAGAGAUAUUAACAAUUGUAGCACUGAAGCUGUUGAUCGAUCCUACCCGGUGCGACCAGUGGCUACGGUUGGUGCUUUCAGACCAUACAGUCUAGGACCUGUUCAACAGAUGCAAAUGGAAAUGUCGAGCUCUACCAAGUUUGUUCCAACCAUUCAGGCUUUGACGCCUGAAAUUGCGGUCUCCAAGUUUGCUGAUACUACAUGCUUUGCUGCUGAUGUGCCAAACAAAUGUGGCCAUGGUUGCUGCAGCGCUGAAGAGCAACCUCGUAACAACUCAUUGUUGGGACCUGAGUUUAAAGAGUUUAUAGACCAUCCUCCAAUUUUGAGCAGUAGUUUUGCUUCGUUGGUAUCUGAAAUCAGCAGCAUUGCCUGGAUGAACGGUGGUCUGCAAAGCAGUAACUCUGGCAACUUAGUGCAGUCUAAUCCUCCAGCGCCUGACAAAUUAGGAAUCGUGUGA